UGUAGCCUGCACCCAGUAGAUAUGGAUAUUCUGGUAAAGUUCACUGGCUUUUGCUCACUCAGAAUUGUGCAUCCAGGUUGUCAUCAUCUGACAUCUGGUACUUGAGCCAUCAGUCUGCUGUAAUCCCUGUUGAUCUCAGGAUUCAUCAGCUCCCACAGCCUGUGAGCCAGAAGCCUGCCGUCUUACCUGCCCCUCUUGGAUUUGUCAGCAUCUGGGGUCUGUGAGCCAGCUGACUGCUGUUUGAUCUGCCAAUCUUGGGCUCGUCACCCCUUGCAGCUGCAUGAUUCAGGAGAAGCCUCCAGUCUGACACCUGACCCAUAGACUUGGUCUAGACAUCUUAGUUCCAAAGGGAGGAAUGGUCCCACACGAAGAAACACCAAAGAUCCCACUCAACUGGAAUUUAAGAACACCACCUGGCCAUUUGGCCUACUCAUUCCUUUGGAUCAACGGGCAACCAAGGGAUUUACCACAUUGGCUGGUGUGGUUGACCCUGAGAACGAAGGAGAAAUUGGAUUGAUGUUGCAUAAUAGAGGUAAAGAAGAGUAUUUCUGCAAUACAGGAGAUCCCUUAAAGCUUCUCUUAGUAUUAUUAAAGUCACUGAAAAAUACAGCAACCCAAUUCCAACAUGACUACUAAUAGUCCAGACCCUUCAGGAAUGAAGCUUUAGGUCACCUCAGCAGGCAAAGAACAAUGACCAGCUGAGGUGCUUGGUUAGGGGAAAGGGAAUAUGGAAUGGGUGGAGGAAGAAGGUAGUUCUAAAUACCAGCUAUGACCAUGUGCCAAGUUGCAGAAAAGAAGCCUGUAAUUGUUAUGAGUAUUUCUUCCUUGUGUGUCUGCAUCAAAUAUUUUUGUUUUUUUCACUGAUAAAAUAUAAGAUGUACACAGGGCUAGUGUGUUUUUGGUUGUAGGCAUGUUAGAUGUAUCAUGUUAGGCACAAGUAUGACUUUGUAAUUUUCUUUAUUUAGCGAUCUUCUAUUGUUUAAGGAGAUGUGUACAGGUGCCAAUUUGACAAGAGGUGGACUGUGAUGGUUAAGGUUGUAUGUCAGCUUGCUGAAGUGAUGAACUGAAGGGGCAUCGUUUGAAAGCAAAGUUAGUAAAACAAAUAUACCCAAGGCUGUUUCCUCAUUCCUUCUGCCACAGCAAAGUCAAACACCUUGUGUAGGAAUUAAACUUGGAGAGUUCUUUGGGGUGUUCUAAGAGAUGUCUCUGAUGAAACUGUCAUAGCCCAUCAUUCACUGUGCUCACUCUUAUAUUUUCCUCUUCUUUUCCAUCUUAGGAAAUACGAUUCCCUAAUUCAGGCUCAGGCUCAAGAACUGAUCCAUUUAUGUCAGAAAAUAUAAGAAGGGAUUGGUGGAUGUAACCUUUUCACAGAGCAUGUGAAAAAUACAAUCAAGUCUUUUAAGGACUUCAUCAGGAAUGCUAACAUUUCCAACUACCAGAGACAGAGAUUUUGUGAUCAACUGGCCCAAGGAAGCCAGCUGGCAGAGUGCCUCAUGAGCAAACUCACCAUGGGACCCUUCUGAGGAGGACUACACUAAAACUACUGGAACUACUUUGCCUGAUGGCUCAGGGACCUGAAAUUACCUGGGUGUUUAUGUCAGUCCCACAGCAAUCAGUUGCUCUCUGCCUGAAAAGCACUUAACACUGACUGACAGAUACUGGAGUAUGAAUUCCAUCUACCUGACUUGAGGAGACCUUUGUCGUGAACUGGCUUUGGGAAAACAGAAUCUAAAGGCCAGCUUUGUAAAGAUUCAGAUGGAUAAAUAGAAGGAAAACAAGAGCUAUCAGUACAAUGUUUAUCUUGGAAGUCCAAAUGAGAGAGUGACUUACCUGAGACUGUGAGAAGGAAGAAUAAAAUCUUUAAGUCCAAUGGGAAAGAAGCCUAUGGUGGAAGAGAGGUGGAGAAGCAAAGAUAAUGGUGGGAAUUUGGGCGAUUCUAGGAAGAACCUGGUCAGCUUUGAACUAACGUAAAUUCUUUGACACCACACCUAAAGAUUCUGAUUUAAAUGGUGUGGAGUUGGAUUUGGGUAUCAUUAUUCUCGGCAGUGGGUGUGGUAUUCUUAAAAACCUCCCUGGGUGAUUCUAAUAUGCAGAUAGAGAUGAGAGAGAUGAUUGGUCUAGUAGGGUCUCAGGUCACUAGCAUUGGAGUAUUCCAAUGGUGUGGCUACUUCAUAGAAAAGGCUGAACAUCAACUGUUGAUGAAAUUUGCAUUCCUUUCUCAACAGUCUUGUUUUUAUAUAACAUUGAAAAAAGAGAAGAGAAAAAAGUAGAGGAUACAUUAGAAAUAUAACUGUCUAUGUAGAAUAGAGUCACUCCACCUUUUUUUGAUCACAAGAUGCAGUAAGAAAUAUAUAAUUCUUUGUGACCCAGCAUAUGUUAAAAAAUUUUUGUGGUCACUACAUGUAAUGGAUCCUAGUAUUGUCCUUUCUGAUUCUUUAAAUAAAACCUGUAAUUAGUCACAACAUUGAUUUCACAACCUACUCAUGGUUCAGAAUUGCAAUUUGAAAAACUUGCUUUUUACCAACAUUUUUUAUUAAACAAAACCCCCAAAAAGAGCUUUUAGGACUUACUUACCUAAAGAGACUAUGUUGCUGACUGCCGUCAAGUCAAUUCUGACUCAGAGAACCCUGUAGGACCGAGUAGAUGAGCCCCACAGGGUUUCCAAGGAGUGGCUGGUAGAUUCAAACUCCUAACCCUUUUGAUUAGCAGCCUGAACUCUUAACUACUUUGCUCCCAGGGCUCCAAAGAGACUAUAACAGUAAAAAAAACAAAACCUAAACGUUCAGGGAACAUAUUACAUAUUUACAUUUCCCAUUCUCUACAAUGGCGUAAAAGGAAAUCUAUAGGUGCAAGCAGUUAAGCACUCAGUUUAUAACCUGAAGGUUGGCGGUUCCAAACUUACCCAGUCGCUCAACAGGAGAAAGACCUGACCAUUUGCUUCUGAAAAGAUUACAGCCAAGACACCUUUGUGGGGCAGUUCUACUCUGUCACAUGGAGUCACUAGGAGUUGAAAUCCACUCAAUGGCAACUAAAGACAAAAACACAAUGACAUAAAGUACUUAAAAAACAAACAAAAACAGUUCAGUGGUUUUUUUUUUUAAAAACAAAUGAUCAUAGAACUACCACAUGACCUAUGACCCGUCAGUCCCAAUUCUAGGUAUAUACCCAGAAGAAGUGAAAGCACGAAAGUAAACAGAAACUUGCACACCAAUGUUGGCUGCAGCACUUUCACAACAGCCAAAAUGUUGAAACAACUGAAAUGUCUGUCAACAUGAAUGGAUAGACAAAAAGGAAUAUUACUCAGCCAUAAAGAGAAAUGAAGUCAUGAUGCAUGCCACAACGUGGAUGAACCUUGAAAACAUUAUGAUGAGUAAAAUAAGUCAGUUGCAAAAGGACCAAUAGCAUAUGA
Molecule: long non-coding RNA, 3409 nt
Organism: Loxodonta africana (African savanna elephant)
Lineage: Eukaryota; Metazoa; Chordata; Mammalia; Proboscidea; Elephantidae
Exons: 3
Source: RefSeq, a predicted model, not a curated record